AAGGCCUUAGCUUAGUUAAAGCGUCUGUUUUGCAUGCAGAAGAUGUGGGAUAGUGCCCUGCAGGUCUUA
Molecule: transfer RNA, 69 nt
Filed under: Chaetodon auriga (threadfin butterflyfish)
Lineage: Eukaryota; Metazoa; Chordata; Actinopteri; Chaetodontiformes; Chaetodontidae
Description: tRNA-Ala
Rfam family: tRNA
About the family: Transfer RNA (tRNA) molecules are approximately 80 nucleotides in length.
Source: RNAcentral